RNAcentral lists this ribosomal RNA (497 nucleotides) under uncultured bacterium. RNAcentral describes it as "partial 16S ribosomal RNA". It matches the Rfam family "Bacterial small subunit ribosomal RNA", at positions 28 to 507 of the family's 1533-position model. The record is from RNAcentral.
GAUGAACGCUGGCGGCGUGCCUAAUACAUGCAAGUCGAGCGAACAGACGAGGAGCUUGCUCCUCUGACGUUAGCGGCGGACGGGUGAGUAACACGUGGAUAACCUACCUAUAAGACUGGGAUAACUUCGGGAAACCGGAGCUAAUACCGGAUAAUAUAUUGAACCGCAUGGUUCAAUAGUGAAAGACGGUUUUGCUGUCACUUAUAGAUGGAUCCGCGCCGCAUUAGCUAGUUGGUAAGGUAACGGCUUACCAAGGCGACGAUGCGUAGCCGACCUGAGAGGGUGAUCGGCCCCACUGGAACUGAGACACGGUCCAGACUCCUACGGGAGGCAGCAGUAGGGAAUCUUCCGCAAUGGGCGAAAGCCUGACGGAGCAACGCCGCGUGAGUGAUGAAGGUCUUCGGAUCGUAAAACUCUGUUAUUAGGGAAGAACAAAUGUGUAAGUAACUAUGCACGUCUUGACGGUACCUAAUCAGAAAGCCACGGCUAACUACGUG